UCCAUUUUUGAAAAGUUGACCUUGUAAACUCAAAAUUGAGAUCUUUCCGCCAUAACAAUAACAAAUUCCGUGAAAUCGGUGAUUAUAGAAAACCGACUUCGCCAAUAAACCUUUGUGACCUCGUUCCUUAAUUACCUGAUAAUCUGAUCUCUCCGUUCCUUAGUGCUACUCCGUGAUCGUCACAGAGCUCCGUCUCCAGCCAUGAACUAACAUUUACUAGUGUCGUGACCACCUCGUAACAUGUGCAUUCUAUACGAGUGAGUUUGAUUCACAACCAGCCUAGCUGCCUUACUCAAACCGUAAAACCACCGUUGCUGCUCACCAUACUUCAGUUCCGUGUGACUACCCGAUGGUCUCCGGCCAACUCCGUUUGAUUACUAAGGUCCACGUAUUUGUUAAAGACGAUUCACUUUGCUUUGCUUGCUAAUAAGGUAAUAUGGGAUAAUCUGGGAUUUCAGUGAGGAGUGUUAGGAGGUUGCUGGCAAGAUUGUUUAUUUCAGUAAUGUAAUAAAUCUAAUUAGGAUCUUUUUUCAAUGCUAUGGAUGGGUUUUUAGUUUUGAUAUCUGUAAGAGUGACACGUUAGCCCUAGCUUGGUUGGGGUGUUACAUAUGAUCCUUAACAACUUUAAUUUUAUUCAUUAUUUAUAUAGGUGACCCUUAUCCUUUGACAACAGGAUUUAUGAUCCUUAAACUAUACUACUUUUUAGAAUUUGUCGAUUAUAGGAUAUUUGAUCCUUGAUCAUAUCCUAAACUUUUUGAGAAGAUUUGUUAAACUUUUCUUCUUUACUUAGUAAAUUCAAACAAAAUACAUCAUAACAACUGGAAGAUAUCCAAAUGAAACAACACAUGAUAAGCCAAAAAGAUUAAAGUUUUAUUUAGUCACAAAAGGUUAAACCCUUGAAGGUUGUCAAAAUUGCCAACCCAAGUUUCUACCAGCAAAACGUGGCCCGUCCACUUGGGUUGGUGAUACGCGCAAAAUGCAACAUAUAAAUUAUAUCAAAUAUGGCAUAAAACUAACCCUUUUUAGUACUAAUGUUGGAAAAAGUGUGUUUUUGUCUUCCUUUUGUAUUUUCAGGAUUAAAUGAGCUCAAAUUAACAAAAGGAGCAAAAAGACAGCAAAAUCUAACAUAAAUACAAGAAAAGGGACUAAAGUGGAUUGUCCGACACCUCGACAGCAUCCUCCCAAGCAAAACAAAGAAGACAGAAGACUGAACACGCCCCGUGCUCAGCGAGCACGGGGCUGUGCCCAAGAAGCAGCAGAAAAGAUAAACUAAUAGAAGCUUCUAUUGCCCGCCGCGGGGCCGUGCCCAGCGGACACGGAGGCAUGGUCAGAGUACUGCAGGCGCAUUUAUUUUAAUUGCGAAUUACAAUUAAUGAAGAGAGAGAGUGUCAGACGGCCACGGGGCCGUGCGCAGGCUUCUAUUCAGCCUAUAAAUAGGAGUGCUUGGAGCCAUUUCAACUCAUCCCUUGGCACACCACCUCUCUCACACUUCACCCACCACCCACCACCACCAUAACACCAUCAUCCACCACCAUCAUCCAUUGUCCAUCAUAGAGUGUGUGAGUCGUCUCGGGAUCCAAGAUUGAUCGUAAGAGUUCUUAACAAUCAAAGGCUAUGUUUGCCUAAGUCUCUUACAUCACUUGGUGAAGACAAGUGUCUAGUGUAAUACUUUUUAAUUUUAAUCUUUUGCACUUUUUAUUUGGUUUUGUAUUAAUGACUUUAAUAACUAGUUUCUUAUGUU
This 1741-nucleotide long non-coding RNA is filed under the name Helianthus annuus (common sunflower). RNAcentral's name for it is "hypothetical non coding rna". Lineage: Eukaryota; Viridiplantae; Streptophyta; Magnoliopsida; Asterales; Asteraceae. The record is from RNAcentral.